GGGUAACGGCCCACCAAGGCGACGAUCAGUAGCCGACCUGAGAGGGUGACCGGCCACAUUGGGACUGAGACACGGCCCAAACUCCUACGGGAGGCAGCAGUGGGGAAUAUUGCACAAUGGGGGAAACCCUGAUGCAGCGACGCCGCGUGAGCGAUGAAGGCCUUCGGGUCGUAAAGCUCUAUCAGCAGGGAAGAAACUGACGGUACCUGACUAAGAAGCACCGGCUAAAUAC
This 232-nucleotide ribosomal RNA is filed under the name uncultured bacterium. Its description in RNAcentral is "partial 16S ribosomal RNA". It matches the Rfam family "Bacterial small subunit ribosomal RNA", at positions 255 to 504 of the family's 1533-position model. The record is from RNAcentral.